CCGUCACGUCAUGGAAGUUGGUAACACUUGAAGUCGCUGGGUGAACCCAUUUAUUUGGGGCACAGGUGCCGAGAGUGGGAUCGAUGACUGGGACGAAGUCGUAACAAGGUAGCUGUACCGGAAGGUGCGGCUGGAUCACCUCCUUU
RNAcentral lists this ribosomal RNA (146 nucleotides) under Dehalococcoidia bacterium. RNAcentral's name for it is "partial 16S ribosomal RNA". It matches the Rfam family "Bacterial small subunit ribosomal RNA", at positions 1394 to 1533 of the family's 1533-position model. The record is from RNAcentral. Lineage: Bacteria; Bacillati; Chloroflexota; Dehalococcoidia.